RNAcentral lists this transfer RNA (73 nucleotides) under Oscillatoriales cyanobacterium SpSt-418. RNAcentral's name for it is "tRNA-Arg". It matches the Rfam family "tRNA". From Rfam's summary of the family: Transfer RNA (tRNA) molecules are approximately 80 nucleotides in length. RNAcentral also lists the same sequence under 1 other name. The record is from RNAcentral. Lineage: Bacteria; Bacillati; Cyanobacteriota; Cyanophyceae; Oscillatoriales.
GGGUCUUUAGCUCAGGGGAUAGAGCAACCGCCUUCUAAGCGGUCGGUCGCAGGUUCGAAUCCUGCAAGACCCG